UGAGAUUUUUGCCCUGAAACUGUUUCUGGAUGAUCAGUUCAGGAUUAAAGACCUGGGGUCUUUGCAUUAUUUUGAUGAGAUUUCUGCCCUGAAACUGUUUCUGGAUGAUUAGUUCAGGAUUAAAAACCUGGGGUCUUUGCAUUAUUUUUUGGGCAUAGAGGUGUCAGUUGUUCCUGGUGGGAUGAUCCUUAAUCAGCAUAAGUAUGUUUCUGACCUGCUGCAUCAGUUUGACUGUAUAAAUGUUUCUCCUGUUGUUAUUCCUUUGGAUAUUAAUGUCAAACUUCAUGCUGAUUCUGGUGAUAUUUUAUCCUCCCCUGAUCAAUAUAGGAGCCUUGUUGGUAUACUCCUAUUUUUGACUCACACUAGGCCUGACAUUUGUUUUCCUGUUCAGCAUCUGAGUCAAUUUUUGAACUGUCCCAGAGUCCC
This 426-nucleotide long non-coding RNA is filed under the name Nicotiana benthamiana. RNAcentral's name for it is "long non-coding RNA (NBEN_LNC008443)". The record is from RNAcentral. Lineage: Eukaryota; Viridiplantae; Streptophyta; Magnoliopsida; Solanales; Solanaceae.